RNAcentral lists this ribosomal RNA (529 nucleotides) under uncultured bacterium. Its description in RNAcentral is "bacterial SSU rRNA". It matches the Rfam family "Bacterial small subunit ribosomal RNA", at positions 777 to 1304 of the family's 1533-position model. The record is from RNAcentral.
AAUAGAUACCCUGGUAGUCCACGCCGUAAACGAUGAGUGCUAAGUGUUAGAGGGUUUCCGCCCUUUAGUGCUGCAGCUAACGCAUUAAGCACUCCGCCUGGGGAGUACGGCCGCAAGGCUGAAACUCAAAGGAAUUGACGGGGGCCCGCACAAGCGGUGGAGCAUGUGGUUUAAUUCGAAGCAACGCGAAGAACCUUACCAGGUCUUGACAUCCUCUGACAACCCUAGAGAUAGGGCUUUCCCCUUCGGGGGACAGAGUGACAGGUGGUGCAUGGUUGUCGUCAGCUCGUGUCGUGAGAUGUUGGGUUAAGUCCCGCAACGAGCGCAACCCUUGAUCUUAGUUGCCGGCAUUCAGUUGGGCACUCUAAGGUGACUGCCGGUGACAAACCGGAGGAAGGUGGGGAUGACGUCAAAUCAUCAUGCCCCUUAUGACCUGGGCUACACACGUGCUACAAUGGAUGGUACAAAGGGCUGCAAACCUGCGAAGGUAAGCGAAUCCCAUAAAGCCAUUCUCAGUUCGGAUUGCAGG